GAAAUAUGUUGAUCAAGAAAAAGCUUCUAACUUUAAUCUUUUAUGGUUUAAUCCCAUAUAUAUUUCU
RNAcentral lists this transfer RNA (67 nucleotides) under Boreus elegans. RNAcentral's name for it is "tRNA-Ser". Lineage: Eukaryota; Metazoa; Arthropoda; Insecta; Mecoptera; Boreidae. The record is from RNAcentral.